This is a long non-coding RNA of Erinaceus europaeus (western European hedgehog), 1467 nucleotides long. RefSeq lists it as uncharacterized. The transcript is spliced from 2 exons. NCBI's taxonomy places the organism in Eukaryota, Metazoa, Chordata, Mammalia, Eulipotyphla, Erinaceidae. The record is from RefSeq and is a predicted model, not a curated record.
GGCUCCCCCCAUGCUGCUUGGCCACUGGGAGCAGGGCAGCAGACAUGGCAGGGCCAUGGGGCAGGGCCGUGGCGGCCUAUCAUGGCCACCACCCCGGGGCACCUCGGCCUGCGCCUUCUGCAUGGCUGGCCCGCCUGCCCUCCUGCUAUGAAGUUUGGACAGAUGCCGGACCACCUGGAGACCGCGGGCUCCCUGCCGAAACUGGGCCCCCUGGCCAAGAUCCUCAGCUCGGGUCUGAAGGCAGACGAGCUAGAAUACGCAGAGAUUCAUGCAGAGAUCGCAACCUGCAAUUCCUAGAAGUGAAGUUGCCCAAGAGGCCACCACCGGACAACGCACUCCCAGAACGGCUAAGACAGUAUAGAUCUAAAUUCGUGUUUAAAAUGACAUGUCUUUGUAACAAAAGUUUCUCUCCUUAUAUAUUGAAGACCAUGUGUAUGUGUGUGUUUAAAGUUUGGUAACAUUAACUUUAAGGUUAAGAAUAUAACUUUAAGGCUAAAUUCUUACCAGGCAAAGUUAAAUGAAAAAGGUUAAACAGACUUGUUGAUAUGUAAAACUCUCAAUUACCUUCCCUAUUAGAAAUGGUAGAUUACACAAUGGCUAUGCUAAUGAUACUCAUGCCUGAGGUUUUCUUUCCUUGAUUCUCAUGUUUACCUUUUCACAUUCUAUUGUUUAAACUUUAACCAACCUUAAAAAUCAUUCUAAAAAAAGACUUCUAAUUGUAAUAGUUAUCAAUUGUGAUAAACUUCUAACCUGCUACAAGUUUGUUUCAUAGUAAGUAAAUUGCAGCUGUCAAGUUCUCUACAGAAAAGCAGAAUUCUGGCAGCGGACCUUCCUCAUACAACGCUCCACCCCCUGGCAUUCUUCCGUGGACAUCUGCUUUCGACUGGCACUCCUACUGGACUCACUGGUACACCCUUAGACACUUUGCACAAAAGUGCUGCUAUAUUUCUCAAACACUGACUGCAGCCAGCUGCCUUUGGGACUCUAGGCCGUUCCCCGCCCCCAUGCUAUAAAAUGCCCGUCGAGGCAAGUAUGCCCCCCAGAGACAGGAAAUGUUUUUUUUUAAGCUGAUAAAGUUUUGCCCACAGAGGCAAAAAAAUGGCCCCCUUAGGCCCUCCCUUGGCAGCACACUGGUUCUUGUUACUUGCUUACAUGUUUCUCCAUGUUUGUGCCAGUUUCUUUUUUGAAAAUGCCUGUACGAUAUAGGUUUCUGUUCACCUCACACCCCUGAUACUGUGGUCAUUUAGUUAAAAACAGAAGGGGGAAUUGUUGGUAUGUUCCCUUCCCCCCGACCUCUGAGAAGAAUUGGUUUGCCCCUUGCUAGUUUCACGCCCCGCUUUCUCCCCGCCCCCUAUGCUAAGGAUGGGCAGAGUCCCAGCAGCAGCGGCAGAGAGGGUGAUGGAGAAAAGCACAUGGUGUGGUGAUUUGCCCGUUCGUGAAUAAAGAUUAAACUGUGUUCUCAGCCCA